AAGUGUGUCUAUACUAAAAUACUGAAACUAGAACAAUACAGAGAUUAGUGUGGCCCCUGUGCAAGAAUGACUUACAAAUUCAUAAAGAAUUUUGUAGUGUGU
Molecule: small nuclear RNA, 102 nt
Organism: Arvicanthis niloticus (Nile rat)
Lineage: Eukaryota; Metazoa; Chordata; Mammalia; Rodentia; Muridae
Source: RefSeq, a predicted model, not a curated record